CGGUGGCAAUCAUUUUAGCCAAUGCAAUAUCAAUGUGGCCUUGUUUUGCUAAAGACAUAGACUUUGGAAUAAACUGGUCCAUAGAAGACUGCGUUGCUGUGGGUCAUGGAGUAGGUCUACUGGACAGAGUGGAUACAUCUCCACCACUAUCACUAGCAGGUCUACUGGACUGAGUGGAUACAUCUCCACCACUAUCACUAGCAGGCCUACUGGACUGAGUGGAUACAUCUCCACCACUAUCACUAGCAGGCCUACUGGACUGAGUGGAUACAUCUCCACCACUAUCACUAGCAGGCCAACUGGACUGAGUGGAUACAUCUCCACCACUAUCACUAGCAGGUCUACUGGACUGACUGGACACAUCUCCACCACUAUCACUAGCAGGUCUACUGGACUGAGUGGAUACAUCUCCACCACUAUCACUAGCAGGUCUACUGGACUGAGUGGAUACAUCUCCACCACUAUCACUAGCAGGUCUACUGGACUGACUGGACACAUCUCCACCACUAUCACUAGCAGGUCUACUGGACUGAGUGGAUACAUCUCCACCACUAUCACUAGCAGGUCUACUGGACUGAGUGGAUACAUCUCCACCACUAUCACUAGCAGGUCUACUGGACUGAGUGGAUACAUCCCCACCACUAUCACUAGCAGGUCUACUGGACUGAGUGGAUACAUCUCCACCACUAACACUAGCAGGUCUACUGGACUGAGUGGAUACAUCUCCACCACUAUCACUAGCAGGUCUACUGGACUGACUGGACACAUCUCCACCACUAUCACUAGCAGGUCUACUGGACUGAGUGGAUACAUCUCCACCACUAUC
RNAcentral lists this long non-coding RNA (826 nucleotides) under Salmo salar (Atlantic salmon). RNAcentral's name for it is "lncRNA (ENSSSAG00000101322.1)". The record is from RNAcentral. Lineage: Eukaryota; Metazoa; Chordata; Actinopteri; Salmoniformes; Salmonidae.